RNAcentral lists this long non-coding RNA (876 nucleotides) under Phasianus colchicus (ring-necked pheasant). Its description in RNAcentral is "lncRNA (ENSPCLG00000020942.1)". The record is from RNAcentral. Lineage: Eukaryota; Metazoa; Chordata; Aves; Galliformes; Phasianidae.
UGGUAAGUUCCUUCAAAUCAACAAGGAGCUGUCAUGGAGUAAUGUCUCCACAAUGAGAAAGCUUGAAUCUUAUCAGUCAUAGCAUCUAACAUAAAACUAACUUCUCUUAUUGUUUACCUUAAUUCACAAUGGUCAGGAAAUUUGCCUCCCUCUUAUUCCUCAUUCCUUACUGUUUUUUCUACAGGUCAUACUAUUGCUUGCAGGGAUUAAAUGCAAUUUCAAGUCUUGCUGAACUGGCAACUUCCAGCUUACACAACAAAAGCAGAGAUGGUGUUACAGAUGUACAAAGAUUAAGAAAAAGCAAGAAAAGCUGCUCACUAAUUGAAUAAUACUUCCACUGAAGAGCAACUAGAGUUGGAGUGUCGUCUUCAGAUAGAGUCAGAAGAUAUGCCAGAAGUCCCAGUCCUUCCUUGAUGGAUUAAAUUGCCAUAAGCAAGAAGAGAAGACCAAAUGCAGCAAAAAAAAGUCUGUGGCAAUUACUGCCAUGUGCUUCUCUGACUCAAGCUGCAAACAACAGAAGAAAACUUUGCAGCUGGCAAAGGCAUUACAAAGAACAAUUAUGCUGAUGUAGUUAAAUAUUUUCCAGUUAAGAUAGAAAGGAAAAGAAAAAGCCAAUACAUCAAACAACCUAAUGUAGUCAACUCAAGAAUUACCUUAAUCAAGUUUUGAAAUGUUUGUUCUGAAGUAAACUAUCUUCAAACAAAACUAUGAAGGUUUUAGUCUCUCAGAGGCACCUAUUCAUCAUUUCAUGAACACUUAGAAACUACAGCCAUUAAAUUAAGAGAGUGUAUUACAUUAUAUGUGGCAUAAUUUACAGGUCAGUUCAACUAGUAGUAAUGUUAAAGCAAUAAAAAACCUUCAACUUCAGCCUUUACA